Daktulosphaira vitifoliae (grape phylloxera) is the source of this 575-nucleotide long non-coding RNA. RefSeq lists it as uncharacterized. The record is from RefSeq and is a predicted model, not a curated record. The transcript has 5 exons. NCBI's taxonomy places the organism in Eukaryota, Metazoa, Arthropoda, Insecta, Hemiptera, Phylloxeridae.
UGAAAUUACUAUUUUUUUACAAUGCUUUUAUAAUAGUUUCCCCCGUUUUAAUACGCUAGUUGCUUCUUUAUGGCCCACCACAUUGUUAUUACUCUAAAAAAUAGAUUAAAUUUAUAUGUUGUACUGAAGUCUCUUUCUUUCCGGAUGAAUGCUCCCCCACAGAGCUGUCUUUUCAACAAAAAUUGACUACACGUUCAGGGAACCAAAAUGAAAAAAUUAUUAUUUUUAAUGACCAAAAUAAAUUAAUAACAUCCAUUGCGUUUUAUUUUUUAUUGCUGUGAUUUUCACUCGUCCAUGGCCCAGUGAUUUCAAUGAUCCAGGAUUCCUUUGUUUGUUGUACUUGAUAUUUUAUUUAUUAUUAAUCAAUCUAGUUACAUUCAUUUUAGUGUACGAAGAACAUGUAGAUCCUUCUAGUGAAAAUGAUGAGUUCGGUGUAACAUUUGAUAUAUGCGUAAUAGUACGGCAUUUAUUACUUUUAAUUGGUGUAUAUCUUUAUAAAUUUGUCAUUUAUGAUAUUGGAAUAAAAAAAUUAUACAUGGCGUAUAUAUACGAUUUAAAUAAUUUACUGAUAUNUA